RNAcentral lists this ribosomal RNA (446 nucleotides) under uncultured bacterium. RNAcentral describes it as "bacterial SSU rRNA". It matches the Rfam family "Bacterial small subunit ribosomal RNA", at positions 330 to 793 of the family's 1533-position model. The record is from RNAcentral.
UCCAGACUCCUACGGGAGGCAGCAGUGGGGAAUAUUGCACAAUGGGGGGAACCCUGAUGCAGCGACGCCGCGUGAGUGAAGAAGUAUCUCGGUACGUAAAGCUCUAUCAGCAGGGAAGAAAAUGACGGUACCUGACUAAGAAGCCCCGGCUAACUACGUGCCAGCAGCCGCGGUAAUACGUAGGGGGCAAGCGUUAUCCGGAUUUACUGGGUGUAAAGGGAGCGUAGACGGAGAAGCAAGUCUGAAGUGAAAGCCCGUGGCUUAACCACGGGACUGCUUUGGAAACUGUUUGACUAGAGUGCUGGAGAGGUAAGUGGAAUUCCUAGUGUAGCGGUGAAAUGCGUAGAUAUUAGGAGGAACACCAGUGGCGAAGGCGACUUUCUGGACUGUACCUGACGCUGAGGCGCGAAAGCGUGGGUAGCGAACGGGAUUAGAUACCCUGGUAC